This 460-nucleotide ribosomal RNA is filed under the name uncultured bacterium. RNAcentral's name for it is "partial 16S ribosomal RNA". It matches the Rfam family "Bacterial small subunit ribosomal RNA", at positions 338 to 795 of the family's 1533-position model. The record is from RNAcentral.
CCUACGGGUGGCAGCAGUGAGGAAUAUUGCUCAAUGGGCGCGAGCCUGACCCAGCCAAGUAGCGUGAAGGAUGACUGCCCUACGGGUUGUAAACUUCUUUUAUAAAGGAAUAAAGUGAGGCACGUUUGCCUUUUUGUAUGUACUUUAUGAGUAAGGAUCGGCUAACUCCGUGCCAGCAGCCGCGGUAAUACGGAGGAUGCGAGCGUUAUCCGGAUUUAUUGGGUUUAAAGGGAGCGUAGAUGGGUUGUUAAGUCAGUUGUGAAAGUUUGCGGCUCAACCGUAAAAUUGCAAUUGAUACUGGCAGCCUUGAGUACAGUUGAGGUAGGCGGAAUUCGUGGUGUAGCGGUGAAAUGCUUAGAUAUCACGAAGAACUCCGAUUGCGAAGGCAGUUUACUAAACUGCCACUGACAUUGAUGCGCGAAAGUGUGGGUAUCAAACAGGAUUAGAUACCCGAGUAGUC